RNAcentral lists this transfer RNA (74 nucleotides) under Rubripirellula tenax. RNAcentral's name for it is "Planctomycetes bacterium Poly51 tRNA-Ala". It matches the Rfam family "tRNA". Rfam says of the family: Transfer RNA (tRNA) molecules are approximately 80 nucleotides in length. Their secondary structure includes four short double-helical elements and three loops (D, anti-codon, and T loops). Further hydrogen bonds mediate the characteristic L-shaped molecular structure. tRNAs have two regions of fundamental functional importance: the anti-codon, which is responsible for specific mRNA codon recognition, and the 3' end, to which the tRNAs corresponding amino acid is attached (by aminoacyl-tRNA synthetases). tRNAs cope with the degeneracy of the genetic code in two manners: having more than one tRNA (with a specific anti-codon) for a particular amino acid; and 'wobble' base-pairing, i.e. permitting non-standard base-pairing at the 3rd anti-codon position. The record is from RNAcentral. Lineage: Bacteria; Pseudomonadati; Planctomycetota; Planctomycetia; Pirellulales; Pirellulaceae.
GGGGGAUUAGCUCAGUUGGGAGAGCGCUACAAUGGCAUUGUAGAGGUCAUCGGUUCAAGUCCGUUAUCCUCCAC